This 330-nucleotide ribosomal RNA is filed under the name uncultured eukaryote. Its description in RNAcentral is "partial 18S ribosomal RNA". It matches the Rfam family "Eukaryotic small subunit ribosomal RNA", at positions 1470 to 1796 of the family's 1831-position model. The record is from RNAcentral.
CCCUUAGACGUUCUGGGCCGCACGCGCGCUACACUGAAGGAAUCAGCACGUCUUUCUCCUUGUCCGAAAGGACUGGGUAACCCGCUGAACCUCCUUCGUGCUAGGGAUUGGGGCUUGUAAUUCUUCCCCAUGAACGAGGAAUUCCCAGUAAGCGCGAGUCAUAAGCUCGCGUUGAUUACGUCCCUGCCCUUUGUACACACCGCCCGUCGCUACUACCGAUUGGAUGGUUUAGUGAGAUCCUCGGAUUGGUCCCGGAGCGGCCUCUGGUCGUGCCGGAGUGCCGAAAAGAAUGUCGAACUUGAUCAUCUAGAGGAAGUAAAAGUCGUAACA